CAAUGAUAUGGUUUAUAUUUAGAAUGUGUGCUCUGCAAGCACGAGGUGGGGGUUGUCCUAUUGUUGA
Molecule: transfer RNA, 67 nt
Filed under: Diplodiscus nigromaculati
Lineage: Eukaryota; Metazoa; Platyhelminthes; Trematoda; Plagiorchiida; Diplodiscidae
Description: tRNA-Ala
Source: RNAcentral